GCAAUGCACCAGGCCUCACAGGGCGAGACGGGCAUGAAAAUGCUGCAAUUCUCAGCAAAGCGGUGCGGACGCCCGCAAUGCUGGCUUACA
RNAcentral lists this ribosomal RNA (90 nucleotides) under Gonyaulax spinifera. Its description in RNAcentral is "partial Archaeal small subunit ribosomal RNA". The record is from RNAcentral. Lineage: Eukaryota; Dinophyceae; Gonyaulacales; Gonyaulacaceae.